Molecule: ribosomal RNA, 735 nt
Filed under: Streptomyces cacaoi
Lineage: Bacteria; Bacillati; Actinomycetota; Actinomycetes; Kitasatosporales; Streptomycetaceae
Description: bacterial SSU rRNA
Rfam family: Bacterial small subunit ribosomal RNA
Source: RNAcentral
GCGAAGGGGACGAGCUCACAAUGCGAGUCGAACGAUGAACCGGUUUCGGCCGGGGAUUAGUGGCGAACGGGUGAGUAACACGUGGGCAAUCUGCCCUGCACUCUGGGACAAGCCCUGGAAACGGGGUCUAAUACCGGAUAUGACCACCGGCCGCAUGGUCUGGUGGUGGAAAGCUCCGGCGGUGCAGGAUGAGCCCGCGGCCUAUCAGCUUGUUGGUGGGGUGAUGGCCUACCAAGGCGACGACGGGUAGCCGGCCUGAGAGGGCGACCGGCCACACUGGGACUGAGACACGGCCCAGACUCCUACGGGAGGCAGCAGUGGGGAAUAUUGCACAAUGGGCGCAAGCCUGAUGCAGCGACGCCGCGUGAGGGAUGACGGCCUUCGGGUUGUAAACCUCUUUCAGCAGGGAAGAAGCGCGAGUGACGGUACCUGCAGAAGAAGCACCGGCUAACUACGUGCCAGCAGCCGCGGUAAUACGUAGGGUGCGAGCGUUGUCCGGAAUUAUUGGGCGUAAAGAGCUCGUAGGCGGCCUGUCGCGUCGGAUGUGAAAGCCCGGGGCUUAACCCCGGGUCUGCAUUCGAUACGGGCAGGCUAGAGUUCGGCAGGGGAGAUUGGAAUUCCUGGUGUAGCGGUGAAAUGCGCAGAUAUCAGGAGGAACACCGGUGGCGAAGGCGGAUCUCUGGGCCGAUACUGACGCUGAGGAGCGAAAGCGUGGGAGGCCAAACAGAACGAGAG